GCGGGCGUAGCUCAAAGUGGUGAGAGCAGCCGCCUUAUAAGCGGCAGGUUCCGGGUUCGACACCCGGCGUCCGCACCA
RNAcentral lists this transfer RNA (78 nucleotides) under Caenimonas sedimenti. RNAcentral describes it as "Caenimonas sp. HX-9-20 tRNA-Ile". It matches the Rfam family "tRNA". Rfam says of the family: Transfer RNA (tRNA) molecules are approximately 80 nucleotides in length. The record is from RNAcentral. Lineage: Bacteria; Pseudomonadati; Pseudomonadota; Betaproteobacteria; Burkholderiales; Comamonadaceae.